ACUGAGCCUGUGCCACGUUGAAUACACCAGUGCUUGGAUGAUCACUGAAGUUAAGCAACAUUGGGCGUGGUCAGUACUUGUAUGGGUGACCGCCUGGGAGAUCACGUGUUGUUAGUU
RNAcentral lists this ribosomal RNA (117 nucleotides) under Olea europaea subsp. europaea. Lineage: Eukaryota; Viridiplantae; Streptophyta; Magnoliopsida; Lamiales; Oleaceae. The record is from RNAcentral.